AAUGCCUAGGAAUCUGCCUGGUAGUGGGGGAUAACGUUCGGAAACGGACGCUAAUACCGCAUACGUCCUACGGGAGAAAGCAGGGGACCUUCGGGCCUUGCGCUAUCAGAUGAGCCUAGGUCGGAUUAGCUAGUUGGUGAGGUAAUGGCUCACCAAGGCGACGAUCCGUAACUGGUCUGAGAGGAUGAUCAGUCACACUGGAACUGAGACACGGUCCAGACUCCUACGGGAGGCAGCAGUGGGGAAUAUUGGACAAUGGGCGAAAGCUUGAUCCAGCCAUGCCGCGUGUGUGAAGAAGGUCUUCGGAUUGUAAAGCACUUUAAGUUGGGAGGAAGGGUUGUAGAUUAAUACUCUGCAAUUUUGACGUUACCGACAGAAUAAGCACCGGCUAACUCUGUGCCAGCAGCCGCGGUAAUACAGAGGGUGCAAGCGUUAAUCGGAAUUACUGGGCGUAAAGCGCGCGUAGGUGGUUUGUUAAGUUGGAUGUGAAAUCCCCGGGCUCAACCUGGGAACUGCAUUCAAAACUGACUGACUAGAGUAUGGUAGAGGGUGGUGGAAUUUCCUGUGUAGCGGUGAAAUGCGUAGAUAUAGGAAGG
Molecule: ribosomal RNA, 596 nt
Filed under: uncultured bacterium
Lineage: Bacteria
Description: bacterial SSU rRNA
Rfam family: Bacterial small subunit ribosomal RNA
Source: RNAcentral